GCGGCGCGUCUGAAACAUGCAAGUCGAACGAGAGCGACCGGUGCUUGCACUGGUCAAUCUAGUGGCGAACGGGUGAGUAACACGUGGGUAACCUGCCUAUCAGAGGGGGAUAACAUCCGGAAACGGAUGCUAAAACCGCAUAGGUCUUCGAGCCGCAUGGCUUGAAGAGGAAAAGAGGCACAAGCUUCUGCUGAUGGAUGGACCCGCGGUGCAUUAGCUAGUUGGUGAGGUAACGGCUCACCAAGGCCGUGAUGCAUAGCCGACCUGAGAGGGUGAUCGGCCACAUUGGGGCUGAGACACGGCCCAAACUCCUACGGGAGGCAGCAGUAGGGAAUCUUCCGCAAUGGACGCAAGUCUGACGGAGCAACGCCGCGUGAGUGAAGAAGGUUUUCGGAUCGUAAAACUCUGUUGUUAGAAAAGAACAAGUGCUAGAG
Molecule: ribosomal RNA, 434 nt
Filed under: Granulicatella adiacens
Lineage: Bacteria; Bacillati; Bacillota; Bacilli; Lactobacillales; Carnobacteriaceae
Description: bacterial SSU rRNA
Rfam family: Bacterial small subunit ribosomal RNA
Source: RNAcentral